This 249-nucleotide ribosomal RNA is filed under the name Triticum aestivum (bread wheat). Its description in RNAcentral is "partial small subunit ribosomal RNA". The record is from RNAcentral. Lineage: Eukaryota; Viridiplantae; Streptophyta; Magnoliopsida; Poales; Poaceae.
AUGCACCCGAAGGUGUUGUGCUGGAAUGUGAGGGGCCUCAACAAUCCAGCUAAAAGGAAGGCCGUUCGGGAGUUUGUGGAUACGGUUAAGGUGAACCUAGUUUGCUUCCAGGAAACAAAAAUGGAUGUAAUAGACCACUAUGUUGUAAUGCAAUGCUUGGGGCCAUCGUUUGAUGGUUUGUGUAUGUGCCAGCGGUGGAUACGUGUGGAGGCAUACUCUUGGCGUGGGAUAGCUCGGUGCUGCUGGUAG